CUGGCUCAGAGAAGUCGAUAACAACGUGGACACCGUCAUGAGUUUGGGACGGGCCGGAGCUAAUACCGGAUAAUAUAUUGAACCGCAUGGUUCAAUAGUGAAAGACGGUUUUGCUGUCACUUAUAGAUGGGUAAGGUAACGGCUUACCAAGGCAACGAUGCGUAGCCGACCUGAGAGGGUGAUCGGCCACACUGGAACUGAGACACGGUCCAGACUCCUACGGGAGGCAGCAGUAGGGAAUCUUCCGCAAUGGGCGAAAGCCUGACGGAGCAACGCCGCGUGAGUGAUGAAGGUCUUCGGAUCGUAAAACUCUGUUAUUAGGGAAGAACAAAUGUGUAAGUAACUAUGCACGUCUUGACGGUACCUAAUCAGAAAGCCACGGCUAACUACGUGCCAGCAGCCGCGGUAAUACGUAGGUGGCAAGCGUUAUCCGGAAUUAUUGGGCGUAAAGCGCGCGUAGGCGGUUUUUUAAGUCUGAUGUGAAAGCCCACGGCUCAACCGUGGAGGGUCAUUGGAAACUGGAAAACUUGAGUGCAGAAGAGGAAAGUGGAAUUCCAUGUGUAGCGGUGAAAUGCGCAGAGAUAUGGAGGAACACCAGUGGCGAAGGCGACUUUCUGGUCUGUAACUGACGCUGAUGUGCGAAAGCGUGGGGAUCAAACAGGAUUAGAUACCCUGGUAGUCCACGCCGUAAACGAUGAGUGCUAAGUGUUAGGGGGUUUCCGCCCCUUUAGUGCUGCAGCUAACGCAUUAAGCACUCCGCCUGGGGGAGUACGACCGCAAGGUUGAAACUCAAAGGAAUGACGGGGACCCGCACAAGCGGUGGAGCAUGUGGGUUUAAUUCGAAGCAACGCGAAGAACCUUACCAAAUCUUGACAUCCUCUGACCCCUCUAGAGAUAGAGUUUUCCCCUUCGGGGGACAGAGUGACAGGUGGUGCAUGGUUGUCGUCAGCUCGUGUCGUGAGAUGUUGGGUUAAGUCCCGCAACGAGCGCAACCCUUAAGCUUAGUUGCCAUCAUUAAGUUGGGCACUCUAAGUUGACUGCCGGUGACAAACCGGAGGAAGGUGGGGAUGACGUCAAAUUCCAUCAGGAUGUGCCCCUUAUGAUUGUGGGCUACACACGUGCUACAAAGUGGA
RNAcentral lists this ribosomal RNA (1133 nucleotides) under Staphylococcus epidermidis. Its description in RNAcentral is "bacterial SSU rRNA". It matches the Rfam family "Bacterial small subunit ribosomal RNA", at positions 130 to 1236 of the family's 1533-position model. Lineage: Bacteria; Bacillati; Bacillota; Bacilli; Caryophanales; Staphylococcaceae. The record is from RNAcentral.